This is a long non-coding RNA of Lytechinus pictus (painted urchin), 667 nucleotides long. RefSeq lists it as uncharacterized. The transcript is spliced from 3 exons. Lineage: Eukaryota; Metazoa; Echinodermata; Echinoidea; Temnopleuroida; Toxopneustidae. The record is from RefSeq and is a predicted model, not a curated record.
GGUACUGGCUCUUUUCCCCCAAGAUUGGACGCUUGACUCUCCAAGAUUUCCAUGUUGAUGGUUAAGUUAAUUUCGUGACUUGGGUAUUUGAAAAGGGGUAGUACAUGGGAGUUAGGCUCUGGCGAUGUGCAUGUGAAAAGGAGAAAUACUCCCCGCGACCACAGGGCGGGAGGGAGUACACCUGUUGCUUGAGGAUCCGUUACUUUAUCUUCAGUGCUGGACGCUGGCAGAGAGCGCAACUUAUUAUUGUUAUAUCUUUAAAGUUUUUCUCCUCGAGAUAGCAACGCCAAGAUCAUCGCCCCUGAUUCGAAAAGGAGCAACAAAAUAAUAGAUGUUCGCGAUGAUUGGAGUUUUCAUAUCCAGUAGCCAGUUGGCGUUACUUUUUAUCAUCAUUUCUGGUUUAAUAACAAGGAUUCUCUCAUUACAAGCCUUCCAGAUAAGAGAAUUAGACGACAGACGAUUAGAAAAGAAUAGAAAUCGAUACACAGGUGAGAUCGGCCCCCCUCCUUUUAUGGCCCGGCCCCCGCCUGGUUACUCCGUCUAUGAUCUCAUUCAAAUUGCUGAAAAUGAACGCGUUGCCUUCUCACCUUACCCGACAAACUUCAAGCCAAAAGUACCUCUUCUACCCCCACCCAAAAGGUCGCCCGCAGACUAUUUAAAGGAAAAC